RNAcentral lists this ribosomal RNA (701 nucleotides) under Ehrenbergina glabra. RNAcentral's name for it is "eukaryotic LSU rRNA". It matches the Rfam family "Eukaryotic large subunit ribosomal RNA", at positions 656 to 1368 of the family's 3401-position model. Lineage: Eukaryota; Foraminifera; Rotaliida; Cassidulinidae. The record is from RNAcentral.
GAAACACGGACCAAGGAGUUCAACUGGAUUGCGAGUCGUAGAGAUUUCUCAAAACUCACAACGGCGAAGCGAAAGCAAAUCGGUGUGAUAUGAUAUAUACUAAUUUAUUAGUGUUAUCAUUGCAACACAGGCUGAUUACGAAUAUGCAUGGGAUUCUCGUGUAUACCCUACAUAAUUUACUUGUAUGGAUUAAUUAAGCUAAAGAGCACUUUAGUUGAGACCCGAAAGAUGGUGAACUUUGCCCGGACAUGGUGAAGCCAGGUGAAAACUUGGUGGAAGCUUGCGCUGUGCGGAACUGACGUGCAAAUCGUUGCCGCCUGAUCUGGGUAAAGGGGCGAAAGACUCAUCGAACCAUCUAGUAGCUGGUUCCCUCCGAAGUUUUCCUUAGAAUAGCUGGAGUUUAUUACAUUUAAUUUUUUCAAUUAACUUGAAAGAGUAACACAGGGGUAAAGCAAUGAGACGCGGUAUCUGUGGGUCUUAUCUUAAUGACCUCGGCCUUCUCUCAAACUUUAAAUCUGUGCGAAUCUAUAUCUGAUUUCUUAAAAAUACGUAUUUAUUUAUGUAUGUGAAUCUAUAGAUUGUAUCUAAAACUCGUAGUGGGCCAUUUCUGGUAAGCAGAACUGGCGAUGAGGGAUUCAACCUGACGUUUUCAAGAUAAGCCGGGCUUAAUCAUAUCUGCUCCAACCUUCCGAUAAACGCGA